Molecule: ribosomal RNA, 829 nt
Filed under: Salmonella enterica
Lineage: Bacteria; Pseudomonadati; Pseudomonadota; Gammaproteobacteria; Enterobacterales; Enterobacteriaceae
Description: partial 23S ribosomal RNA
Rfam family: Bacterial large subunit ribosomal RNA
Source: RNAcentral
GUGCUGUGAGCUCGAUGAGUAGGGCGGGACACGUGGUAUCCUGUCUGAAUAUGGGGGGACCAUCCUCCAAGGCUAAAUACUCCUGACUGACCGAUAGUGAACCAGUACCGUGAGGGAAAGGCGAAAAGAACCCCGGCGAGGGGAGUGAAAAAGAACCUGAAACCGUGUACGUACAAGCAGUGGGAGCACAGGUUUACCUGUGUGACUGCGUACCUUUUGUAUAAUGGGUCAGCGACUUAUAUUCUGUAGCAAGGUUAACCGAAUAGGGGAGCCGGAGGGAAACCGAGUCUUAAUUGGGCGUUAAGUUGCAGGGUAUAGACCCGAAACCCGGUGAUCUAGCCAUGGGCAGGUUGAAGGUUGGGUAACACUAACUGGAGGACCGAACCGACUAAUGUUGAAAAAUUAGCGGAUGACCUGUGGCUGGGGGUGAAAGGCCAAUCAAACCGGGAGAUAGCUGGUUCUCCCCGAAAGCUAUUUAGGUAGCGCCUCGUGAAUUCAUCUCCGGGGGUAGAGCACUGUUUCGGCUAGGGGGCCAUCCCGGCUUACCAACCCGAUGCAAACUGCGAAUACCGGAGAAUGUUAUCACGGGAGACACACGGCGGGUGCUAACGUCCGUCGUGAAGAGGGAAACAACCCAGACCGCCAGCUAAGGUCCCAAAGUCAUGGUUAAGUGGGAAACGAUGUGGGAAGGCCCAGACAGCCAGGAUGUUGGCUUAGAAGCAGCCAUCAUUUAAAGAAAGCGUAAUAGCUCACUGGUCGAGUCGGCCUGCGCGGAAGAUGUAACGGGGCUAAACCAUGCACCGAAGCUGCGGCAGCGACGCUUAUGCGU